Molecule: ribosomal RNA, 467 nt
Filed under: uncultured bacterium
Lineage: Bacteria
Description: partial 16S ribosomal RNA
Rfam family: Bacterial small subunit ribosomal RNA
Source: RNAcentral
GACGAACGCUGGCGGCGUGCUUAACACAUGCAAGUCGAACGAUGACGCCCGAGCUUGCUCGGUCUGAUUAGUGGCGAACGGGUGAGUAACACGUGAGCAACCUGCCCUUCACUCUGGGAUAACCUCGGGAAAUCGGGGCUAAUACCGGAUAUGAGCUCCUGUCGCAUGGCGGGUGUUGGAAAGUUUUUCGGUGAAGGAUGGGCUCGCGGCCUAUCAGUUUGUUGGUGAGGUAGUGGCUCACCAAGGCGAUGACGGGUAGCCGGCCUGAGAGGGCGACCGGCCACACUGGGACUGAGACACGGCCCAGACUCCUACGGGAGGCAGCAGUGGGGAAUAUUGCACAAUGGGCGAAAGCCUGAUGCAGCGACGCCGCGUGAGGGAUGACGGCCUUCGGGUUGUAAACCUCUUUCAGCAGAGAAGAAGCGAAAGUGACGGUACCUGCAGAAGAAGCGCCGGCUAACUACGUG